RNAcentral lists this ribosomal RNA (247 nucleotides) under uncultured bacterium. RNAcentral describes it as "partial 16S ribosomal RNA". It matches the Rfam family "Bacterial small subunit ribosomal RNA", at positions 523 to 769 of the family's 1533-position model. The record is from RNAcentral.
AUACGUAGGGGGCGAGCGUUGUCCGGAAUUAUUGGGCGUAAAGGGCGCGUAGACGGCCGAGUAAGUUAUAGGUGAAAGCCCAUCUUUCAAGGAUGGAACUGCCUGUAAUACUGCCUGGCUUGAGUGCAGGAGAGGGAAGCGGAAUUCCUAGUGUAGCGGUGAAAUGCGUAGAUAUUAGGAGGAACACCAGUGGCGAAGGCGGCUUUCUGGACUGUAACUGACGUUGAGGCGCGAAAGCGUGGGGAGC